AUGCGGCCGGCCGUGACGCACGACGACCUGUCCCUCCGCAAGGCGCAGGAGCGCCGGGCGGGGCGCUCCGGCAGCCAGAUCGCCGUCGGCCUCGUCGCGCUCUCCGUGCUCUGCGGCCUCGUCAGCUUCAUCCUCUGCCUCGCCGCCGAGGGCUCGCGCUCCGAGGUGUCCAACUACCUGAUGACCGUGGCCGGGAGCGGGGCGCAGGUGGAGCUGUGCUUCUACAACGGCAGCGGCCGCUCGGCGCUCGCCUUCUCCAUCGGCGCCUUCCUGCUGCUGGCCGUCGCCAUGUUCGCCGUGCACGCCUACAUGCUCCUCGCCGUCGCUUCGCCGGACUCCGCCGCCGCAGGCCUCGCCGUCGCUGAGGACCACCCCCGCGUGUCCUCCGCCACCAACACCCUCACCUGGCAAACCUGCUGCCUCUUCUUCGUCACAUGGUACGGAAAUUACUUUCAAGCGCCGCGAAACCAUGCCAUGCAUUGGGCAAGAAGAAUGGUGGUGUGGAUUAAUAAUAAGAGCACACUCGUCGAUGGGUGCAGGAUUUGCUUCGGGCUCGCGGAGGUGCUGCUCAUGAUCGGGAUCGGGGUAGAGUCCGGCCACGUCAGCGACUGGCGGAGGCCGCGGCAGGUGUGCCACCGGGUGCGCCCGGGGAUGUUCGCGGCGGCGGGGAUACUGGGGCUCAUCACCGUCGUCGUCGGCUUCGUCGUCUACGUGACCGCAGUGCACACGCAGAAGCUGCUGCGGCAGCACGGCGGCGGCCACUACGCCCCGCACCCCGGCAGCGCCCCCUACCCCAGCGGUGCACCAUACCCCGGCGUCCAGCAGCACCACCUGCAGCCGCCGGUGUCGUACCCACCACACCCGGCCCCGCACCCACACCCUCAUCCGGCGCCGAAUGCGCCGGAGAUCACGGCCGCCGCUUGCCAGGUUCAGUCCAGCAACGCGUGGUGCAUCACCAAGGACAAGGAGUACACCGAUGUUUAA
This 984-nucleotide ribosomal RNA is filed under the name Triticum aestivum (bread wheat). Its description in RNAcentral is "partial small subunit ribosomal RNA". Lineage: Eukaryota; Viridiplantae; Streptophyta; Magnoliopsida; Poales; Poaceae. The record is from RNAcentral.